GACGAACGCUGGCGGCGUGCUUAACACAUGCAAGUCGAACGGAAAGGCCCUGCUUUUGUGGGGUGCUCGAGUGGCGAACGGGUGAGUAACACGUGAGUAACCUGCCCUUGACUUUGGGAUAACUUCAGGAAACUGGGGCUAAUACCGGAUAGGAGCUCCUGCUGCAUGGUGUGGGUUGGAAAGUUUCGGCGGUUGGGGAUGGACUCGCGGCUUAUCAGCUUGUUGGUGGGGUAGUGGCUUACCAAGGCGUUGACGGGUAGCCGGCCUGAGAGGGUGACCGGCCACAUUGGGACUGAGAUACGGCCCAGACUCCUACGGGAGGCAGCAGUGGGGAAUAUUGCACAAUGGGCGGAAGCCUGAUGCAGCAACGCCGCGUGCGGGAUGACGGCCUUCGGGUUGUAAACCGCUUUCGCCUGGGACGAAGCGUGAGUGACGGUAAUGGGUAAAGAAGCACCGGCUAACUACGUG
RNAcentral lists this ribosomal RNA (468 nucleotides) under uncultured bacterium. RNAcentral describes it as "partial 16S ribosomal RNA". It matches the Rfam family "Bacterial small subunit ribosomal RNA", at positions 28 to 507 of the family's 1533-position model. The record is from RNAcentral.